AGUGGCAGACGGGUGAGUAACAUGUAGGUAUCUGCCCUUUGGCCUGGAAUAACACGAGGAAACUUGUGCUAAUACCGGAUAAGUCUUUACGGAGAAAGCUUUAUGCACCAUUGGAUGAGCCUGCACUUGAUUAGUUUGUUGGUGGGGUAAUGGCCUACCAAGACUGUGAUCAAUAGCUGAUUUGAGAGGAUGAUCAGCCACAUUGGGACUGAGACACGGCCCAAACUCCUACGGGAGGCAGCAGUGGGGAAUCUUGCACAAUGGAGGAAACUCUGAUGCAGCGAUGCCGCGUGAGUGAAGAAGGCCCUUGGGUUGUAAAGCUCUUUCGUCGGGGAAGAAAACGACUGUACCCGAAUAAGAAGGUCCGGCUAACUUCGUGCCAGCAGCCGCGGUAAUACGAAGGGACCUAGCGUAGUUCGGAAUUACUGGGCUUAAAGAGUUCGUAGGUGGUUGAAAAAGUUGGUGGUGAAAUCCCAGAGCUUAACUCUGGAACUGCCAUCAAAACUUUUCAGCUAGAGUAUGAUAGAGGAAAGCAGAAUUUCUAGUGUAGAGGUGAAAUUCGUAGAUAUUAGAAAGAAUACCAAUUGCGAAGGCAGCUUUCUGGAUCAUUACUGACACUGAGGAACGAAAGCAUGGGUAGCGAAGAGGAUUAGAUACCCUCGUAGUCCAUGCCGUAAACGAUGUGUGUUAGACGUUGGAAAUUUAUUUUCAGUGUCGCAGCGAAAGCGAUAAACACACCGCCUGGGGAGUAC
RNAcentral lists this ribosomal RNA (752 nucleotides) under uncultured marine bacterium. RNAcentral's name for it is "bacterial SSU rRNA". It matches the Rfam family "Bacterial small subunit ribosomal RNA", at positions 94 to 883 of the family's 1533-position model. The record is from RNAcentral.